Molecule: ribosomal RNA, 486 nt
Filed under: uncultured bacterium
Lineage: Bacteria
Description: partial 16S ribosomal RNA
Rfam family: Bacterial small subunit ribosomal RNA
Source: RNAcentral
AUUGAACGCUGGCGGCAUGCCUUACACAUGCAAGUCGAACGGCAGCACGGGUGCUUGCACCUGGUGGCGAGUGGCGAACGGGUGAGUAAUACAUCGGAACAUGUCCUGUAGUGGGGGAUAGCCCGGCGAAAGCCGGAUUAAUACCGCAUACGAUCUACGGAUGAAAGCGGGGGACCUUCGGGCCUCGCGCUAUAGGGUUGGCCGAUGGCUGAUUAGCUAGUUGGUGGGGUAAAGGCCUACCAAGGCGACGAUCAGUAGCUGGUCUGAGAGGACGACCAGCCACACUGUGACUGAGACACGCCCCAGAGUCCUACGGGAGGCACCAGUGUGGAAUAUUGGACAAUGGGCGAAAGCCUGAUCCAGCGAUGCGGCGUGUGUGAAGAAGGCCUUCGGGUUGUAAAGCACUUUUGUCCGGAAAGAAAUCCUUGGCCCUAAUACGGUCGGGGGAUGACGGUACCGGAAGAAUAAGCACCGGCUAACUACGUG